AUUGAACGCUGGCGGCAUGCCUUACACAUGCAAGUCGAACGGCAGCACGGGGGCAACCCUGGUGGCGAGUGGCGAACGGGUGAGUAAUAUAUCGGAACGUGCCCUAGAGUGGGGGAUAACUAGGCGAAAGAUUAGCUAAUACCGCAUACGAUCUACGAAUGAAAGGGGGGGAUCGCAAGACCUCAUGCUCCUGGAGCGGCCGAUAUCUGAUUAGCUAGUUGGUAGGGUAAAAGCCUACCAAGGCGACGAUCAGUAGCUGGUCUGAGAGGACGACCAGCCACACUGGAACUGAGACACGGUCCAGACUCCUACGGGAGGCAGCAGUGGGGAAUUUUGGACAAUGGGGGCAACCCUGAUCCAGCAAUGCCGCGUGAGUGAAGAAGGCCUUCGGGUUGUAAAGCUCCUUUGUCCGGAACGAAACGCGCUGAGCUAAUACCUCGGCGUAAUGACGGUACCGGAAGAAUAAGCACCGGCUAACUACGUGCCAGCCGCCGCGGUAA
Molecule: ribosomal RNA, 500 nt
Filed under: uncultured bacterium
Lineage: Bacteria
Description: partial 16S ribosomal RNA
Rfam family: Bacterial small subunit ribosomal RNA
Source: RNAcentral